CCGGGAGGGUGGAGUGCACCCGGCUGCCCACAUCGUGGCUGCCCACGUCGUGGCCCGAGGCGCUCAUCCCUGGCCAGGAUCCCCAGGCACCAGGCAGGGCACAGGAACAGCCGCCAGCCUAAGGCAGCAGGACGUGCAGGCAUGGAGUGGCUGCCCAGGAGGCGAUGGUGACAGCUCCCUGCCCUGCAGCUUUUCUGGGCACCAUGGAAGCUUCUGGAUCCUGGACCAACUCUAGGAGGGAAGAGAGUUGCAUUUUCUGCCAGCCCCACAGGGUGGGGCUCCAAGUUGGGUUUAAGCUGAUUUAAGUAAACAAAGAAAUGAACCUUCCGGAUUUCUGGACAGCACGGCCCUCCAAGUUCAUGGUCUGAGGGUUCUUCUUUGCUCCGAAUAUGCAGCAGCAUUAGAUAAAACAUUUCAACAAAACAAGCCAAGCACCGCAGACACCAAAAACAGACAGAACAAAACCCGUGGGUGGGGUCUGAGAUGGGGCUUCUGGUCUGGAACCAAGGUGGGGGAAGACCUGGCACAGCUCCCAGGGUGGGGAGCAGAGGCCGCUGACUGCACAGAGAGACCCCCACCCAGAGAGGGAAUAGAAGGAAAAUUCCAGCCGAGUGCUUCCCGGACUUCAGCUUCCAGAUUCGAGAACCAGGAUGUGGGAGGAAGCAGCCUCCUGUCCAGGACCCAGGAACUGGUGUCCAGAACAGGCUCGUGCUGAGCUGUGUGUGAAGGUGGGCUGAGGUGGAGGCCAGGCAGCCAGGAGCCCCCAGGCUUGACUUGUCCCACAGCACGCCCGAGCCCAUGCCAAGCCUGCCCAAGAUGGUGAAGGGGACACGGUCCCAGGCGAGCAAGCUGGCUCAAAGCCAGUGACAGCUUUCCCAGAGGGUGAAGAAGGGAAUUUAAGAACACUUCACCCAUCUGGAACUAGGAAACGCUGUGGGAGCAGACAUCGCCAAGCAUCUGUGCUUAUUUUAAAUUCAGCAGUUCCAGGGCCUGCCCGCCCUAGGAGCAGAUGCUGGGAUUUCUUCUUGGAGCCUCUACAACUCCUCAAGCCUGACCGAGAGCAUCCUCAAGUCAGGAGACAGAAACAAAGGGCAGAGGGACGCGCUUGCUGGCUUUCCCUUUCAAACGCCCGGCUCACCACCUCUGCGACUCUGGGCUGAGCCAGGGCCCGAGGCUGGCCCCAAGCGCUGCCCCGAGCGGGCGGCAGGGCUUGCUCCCUGCAUCUCUCCUGAUGACAGACUUCAGAGAAUUUCUGGGGCGGACGAAAAGAGCAUAAUAAGUUUAAUUUUGGCAUUGUAAAGGUUAUUAUUAUAA
This is a long non-coding RNA of Cebus imitator (Panamanian white-faced capuchin), 1314 nucleotides long. RefSeq lists it as uncharacterized. The transcript is spliced from 4 exons. The record is from RefSeq and is a predicted model, not a curated record. NCBI's taxonomy places the organism in Eukaryota, Metazoa, Chordata, Mammalia, Primates, Cebidae.